RNAcentral lists this ribosomal RNA (467 nucleotides) under uncultured bacterium. RNAcentral describes it as "bacterial SSU rRNA". It matches the Rfam family "Bacterial small subunit ribosomal RNA", at positions 331 to 793 of the family's 1533-position model. The record is from RNAcentral.
CCAGACUCCUACGGGAGGCAGCAGUGAGGAAUAUUGGUCAAUGGCCGAGAGGCUGAACCAGCCAAGUCGCGUGAGGGAAGAAUGUCCUAAGGAUUGUAAACCUCUUUUGUCGGGGAGCAAAAAGGCUCUGCGGAGUCGUAUUGAGAGUACCCGAAGAAAAAGCAUCGGCUAACUCCGUGCCAGCAGCCGCGGUAAUACGUAGGGUGCAAGCGUUAUCCGGAUUUAUUGGGCGUAAAGGGCUCGUAGGCGGUUCGUCGCGUCCGGUGUGAAAGUCCAUCGCUUAACGGUGGAUCCGCGCCGGGUACGGGCGGGCUUGAGUGCGGUAGGGGAGACUGGAAUUCCCGGUGUAACGGUGGAAUGUGUAGAUAUCGGGAAGAACACCAAUGGCGAAGGCAGGUCUCUGGGCCGUUACUGACGCUGAGGAGCGAAAGCGUGGGGAGCGAACAGGAUUAGAUACCCCGGUAAAG